RNAcentral lists this ribosomal RNA (193 nucleotides) under uncultured gamma proteobacterium CHAB-XII-26. Its description in RNAcentral is "partial 16S ribosomal RNA". It matches the Rfam family "Bacterial small subunit ribosomal RNA", at positions 1326 to 1518 of the family's 1533-position model. The record is from RNAcentral. Lineage: Bacteria; Pseudomonadati; Pseudomonadota; Gammaproteobacteria.
UCGGAAUCGCUAGUAAUCGCAGGUCAGAAUACUGCGGUGAAUACGUUCCCGGGCCUUGUACACACCGCCCGUCACACCAUGGGAGUGGGAUGCAAAAGAAGUAGUUAGUUUAACCUUCGGGAGAACGAUUACCACUUUGUGUUUCAUGACUGGGGUGAAGUCGUAACAAGGUAACCCUAGGGGAACCUGGGGU